GUUUUAAGUUUAAAUCGGGGAGGCCCCGAGUCACAUUCAAAUAGACAUCAGAGUUGGUGUAAACGGGACGACGGCCGUUACAGCACGCCAUCCCAAAGGUUCACAGGUGUUUGGGUUUGGAAGAGGACGCAAGCCAGACCGCAGCACGGCGUCGCCACCGGUGCAGGUCUUAGCACGCGCCCCCGUGAGUUUCAAUAAUGAUCCUUCCGCAGGUUCACCUACGGAAA
This 227-nucleotide unclassified non-coding RNA is filed under the name uncultured fungus. RNAcentral's name for it is "sequence contains ITS1". Lineage: Eukaryota; Fungi. The record is from RNAcentral.